AAAUUAUGAGAAGUUUACCAAAAUAAUUAUGAAAAAAAAUAAAACAAUAGUACUAUACUAUACUUUUAUUAAGUAUAAACAUAAGAUUUUGUGGUAUCCACUAGUGUAAAUAUUUUAAAUUGAAGAUCGAAUUCAAUCAUUGUAUUCAUAUAAGGUCAAGGAGUGUUGUUGUAAAAAAUCAUCAAAAUCGGAGUUAAAUUAACCGUUAAAUCGUGAUUUUUUGUUUAUAACCGUCGAAAAGUUUUAUCCCGUUACGUGCUCUCUGAAUGUUUGUUUUUUGUAAUUUUUGGCGUAUGCGAUCUCGAAAUAUAUACAAACAUUUUUUACGGUUGGAUCAUUGAAACUACUUUCGUAGAAUGAGUAUCCCAUCAAAAUAAUAGAUUCACUAAUACUUGAGAGUUUAUUCAUACUUUUAUUAAGUAUAACAUAAGAUUUUGUGGUUUCCACUAGUGUAAAUAUUUUAAAUUGAAGAUCGAAUUCAAUCAUUGUAUUCAUCUAGGGUCAAGGAGUGUAGUUGUAAAAAAUCAUCAAAAUCGGAGUUAAAAUGACCGUUAAAUCGUGAUUUUUCGUUUAUAACUGUCGAAAAGUUUUGUCCCGUUACUUGAUCUCUGAAUGUUUGUUUUUUGCAAUUUUUGGCGUAUGCAAUCU
RNAcentral lists this long non-coding RNA (648 nucleotides) under Malus domestica (apple). RNAcentral's name for it is "long non-coding RNA (MDOM_LNC014171)". The record is from RNAcentral. Lineage: Eukaryota; Viridiplantae; Streptophyta; Magnoliopsida; Rosales; Rosaceae.